This 434-nucleotide ribosomal RNA is filed under the name uncultured Oscillospiraceae bacterium. RNAcentral's name for it is "bacterial SSU rRNA". It matches the Rfam family "Bacterial small subunit ribosomal RNA", at positions 341 to 792 of the family's 1533-position model. Lineage: Bacteria; Bacillati; Bacillota; Clostridia; Eubacteriales; Oscillospiraceae. The record is from RNAcentral.
ACGGGAGGCAGCAGUGGGGAAUAUUGGGCAAUGGGGGAAACCCUGACCCAGCAACGCCGCGUGAAGGAAGAAGGCCUUCGGGUUGUAAACUUCUUUUACCAGGGACGAUAAUGACGGUACCUGGAGAAAGAGCAACGGCUAACUACGUGCCAGCAGCCGCGGUAAUACGUAGGUUGCAAGCGUUGUCCGGAUUUACUGGGUGUAAAGGGCGUGUAGGCGGAGCUGCAAGUCAGAUGUGAAAUCCCGGGGCUCAACCCCGGAACUGCAUUUGAAACUGUAGCCCUUGAGUGUCGGAGAGGCAAGCGGAAUUCCUAGUGUAGCGGUGAAAUGCGUAGAUAUUAGGAGGAACACCAGUGGCGAAGGCGGCUUGCUGGACGACAACUGACGCUGAGGCGCGAAAGCGUGGGGAGCAAACAGGAUUAGAUACCCUGGUA